This 1121-nucleotide ribosomal RNA is filed under the name Phytophthora litchii. RNAcentral's name for it is "eukaryotic LSU rRNA". It matches the Rfam family "Eukaryotic large subunit ribosomal RNA", at positions 44 to 960 of the family's 3401-position model. Lineage: Eukaryota; Oomycota; Peronosporomycetes; Peronosporales; Peronosporaceae. The record is from RNAcentral.
CAAUAAGCGGAGGAAAAGAAACUAACAAGGAUUCCCCUAGUAACGGCGAGUGAAGCGGGAAGAGCUCAAGCUUAAAAUCUCCGUGCAAGUUUUGCACGGCGAAUUGUAGUCUAUAGAGGCGUGGUCAGCGUGGGCGCUUGGGGCAAGUUCCUUGGAAGAGGACAGCAUGGAGGGUGAUACUCCCGUUCAUCCCUGAGUUGCUCGUGCGUACGACCCGUUUUCUUUGAGUCGCGUUGUUUGGGAAUGCAGCGCAAAGUAGGUGGUAAAUUCCAUCUAAAGCUAAAUAUUGGUGCGAGACCGAUAGCGAACAAGUACCGUGAGGGAAAGAUGAAAAGAACUUUGAAAAGAGAGUUAAAGAGUACCUGAAACUGCUGAAAGGGAACCGAAUCGUUUCCAGUGUCUAUAAUCUGUGGCAUAUUUCAUUGGCGAGUGUGUGCGUGCGUGUGCUGUGGCAGUGGCUUUUUUGGCUGCGCUCGGUGUGUGUGCUGUGUGUGCUUGCUGGUGCCCUGUGCUGCGGUGGGACGUCAAGGUCAGUUCGUAUGCUGCGGGAAAUGGCUGCCGAGGAGGUAGGGCUUACGCUUGCGUUUGUCUGUUAUAUCUUGGUGGACGAGUAGUCGCGGUUGGGACUGAGGUGCCUACAACGUGCUUUUGAGUGUGUCUGUGUCUCCGUGUGCGCCGUGUGCGGAUAGCUUGCUAUGCGUGUGUGGUUGUGUGUGGAUUGAUGCGGGCUUUAACUUGUUGCCGUUCGGGACGUUGACGAAAUGGAGCGAUCCGACCCGUCUUGAAACACGGACCAAGGAGUCUAACAUGUGUGCAAGUGUUAGGGUGUGGAAACCCCAGCGCGAAAUGAAAGUGAAGGGCAGCGCAAGUUGUCUGAGGUAGGAAACGUUGUGGGCUUCGGUCUGCGGCGUGGCACUAUCGACCGAUCAUGAACCUUCGUGGUGAAAGAUUUGAGUUUGAGCACAUAUGUUGGUACCCGAAAGAUGGUGAACUAUGCCUGAGUAGGGUGAAGCCAGGGGAAACUCUGGUGGAAGCUCGUAGCGAUUCUGACGUGCAAAUCGAUCGUCAAACUUGGGUAUAGGGGCGAAAGACUAAUCGAACCAUCUAGUAGCUGGUUCCCU